This 80-nucleotide microRNA precursor is filed under the name Aotus nancymaae (Ma's night monkey). RNAcentral's name for it is "miRNA (ENSANAG00000007770.1)". Lineage: Eukaryota; Metazoa; Chordata; Mammalia; Primates; Aotidae. The record is from RNAcentral.
UUAGGUAGUGCAAAAGUAAUUGUGGUUUUUGCCAUUGAAAAUAAUAGCAAAAACCACAAUUACUUUUGCAGCAACCUAAU